UAGGGAAUCUUCGGCAAUGGACGAAAGUCUGACCGAGCAACGCCGCGUGAGUAAAGAAGGUUUUCGGAUCGUAAAACUCUGUUGGUAGAGAAGAACGUUGGUGAGAGUGGAAAGCUCAUCAAGUGACGGUAACUACCCAGAAAGGGACGGCUAACUACGUGCCAG
This 165-nucleotide ribosomal RNA is filed under the name uncultured bacterium. RNAcentral describes it as "partial 16S ribosomal RNA". It matches the Rfam family "Bacterial small subunit ribosomal RNA", at positions 355 to 511 of the family's 1533-position model. The record is from RNAcentral.